CUGCUUGGGACAAGCGGCUUCAGACAGUGUGUGUGUGUGUGUGUGUGUGUGUGUGCUAUAUACUGUAAAUGAAAGCAAUAUGUCGUACCAGUGUGUCUGACAUCAGAGUCUGUGAUCUGUUUGUUUUAGAAGCUGUCGUUUCUAAGGAGAAGACAAAGCUGAUACUUCCAAGAAGAGCUGUCCAAGUUAAAGUUGAAAAGACCACAAAGCCACAUGAACCAGUGAAAGAAGUCAAAACUAAGGAGCAUAAAGGUGCAAGUACGUCAUAAAAGAUGUGUUUUCCGAGAAAGAUAUUUAACAAAGUUAUCCAGCCUAUUACUUUUUGUGGUUUUGCAGUGAUUAGAUCUUUUUUUUUAACAGAGCUUGACAGAGAGAAGCUCAAAAUUUUGCUUAAGAGGGCUAAGGCCAGAUUUUCUAACUCUCAUAUUGGUGUUCUUGUGUUUAUUACACUGGUGUGAAUAAUUAAGACUAAGAAUACUCCACACAUAGCAAACAACAGCAAAUGUAUUCAGUAUGAGCAACACAAAAACUAAAAAUAGACUUUAAUGUAGCAGCAAUAUAGCUUUGCAUCAAUUCUCUAAUGGCCAGAUGUUUAUUCAUGCAGAACCUGAAAAAGAAAGGCCUAAACCUUUGGUGAAAAAGGACACUGAAAAAGAAAAGAUGAAAACUGCGCUAAAGAAAGCACAGACAAAGCCCCGUCAUGCUGCAAAAAUGACCCCACCAGGGAGAGGUUCCUCUACUCAUCCAAAAGCCGAAACAGGUAGGCCAGCUCAGGUCGACACAAAGUCAACAAAGGAUGCAAAAGAACAAGAUGGGAAAACUCCAAAACCAUCAAAACCUGCUGGUGUGGAGGAGGCCAAGGCCAAGACAGAGCCAGGUAAGUGUCACGGACUCCUUCCUCGACCACCCGUGCAUUUUCACCCCGUUCGCCACCUCAUUAGAGGGCCGCGGUCCGCACCAGGUCCACAGGGUCCAUUUCAGAAGCUGGGACCAGGUCACGAUGGAACUGAUAGGUUCAGACUGAAUCCUUUGUUCCGAAAGUUUUUGGGCCUGGGGGGGGGUGACAUUAUCUUCUCAAAUGUCCUUGUACACUGAGUGGGAAAGGACACUCUGUUUCCCUGUCCAGUCUGGCAGUCACCAACGUGUCCCUUCCCUUCCAAUGUCCUUCCUUUCAGCCAAAAUGCCCUACUUCCAGUGUGUCCUUCUUCGCUCCAAAAACACCAAGUACCCUCUAUACCCUUUCACCCCUGCUCAAAGUCCCAUCACCAAGCCCCAGCCGCCAGAAAGGAGAGCCAGGGCAGCUGGGCACUAAGACAGCGCCUCCUACAGGUCAAGUUAAUUUCUCACCGCAGCUGUCCCCUGCGACUGGAGGGCUGUUCUCUUGCUGGGGCCAUUGUGGGCCACAAGCAUCUUAAGAGGUCUUGACUGUUAACCAAGGAUGAUCUUGAACAAAGAGGAUGAAUGGUUCUUUAACUUUUUUGUUUUUCUUAAGACUGGUCGAGCUUCCAUCACUGUUGGUGUAUGAACCCCAUUCCUUUACAUGCAGCCGUGAUGAUGUCUUGCAGUGUUUGUCUCUUCCUCCGUUUCAGUGCUGUGUCAAAAAAGCACUUAUGAAAAUUCAAUUAUGAAAGAAGCAGAAUGCAUCACGAUUAUUAAUCCACUGUGGUGGUUUCGAUAUCAUGAGUGACACAGCUUAUCUUAUAUAGUUUGAUUUUUAUUUUUGACGGCCAAAAGAAUACGAAGUUUAACCGAAAAAAUCAAUUUAUUGUCAGCUUGUACGUAUAAAUAGACAUAUACUGUAUAUAAUUUAGUGUAAAUUUGCAGUUUACAGUUGGGGUUUCUCAAAUUCAAUUUGAGAUAUUUCAUCGUGCUAAUGCGCCUCAAUCUCAAAAUGUGCAAAGAGAAAUAUUAGUUUAUAUAUAAUAAUUUAUUUGCUAUAUGUGUACAUUUACUAAUUAAUUUGUAUGGUGGCAAUAUCUUAAAUUAUUGUCCACCGUGGCAAUAUCUUAAAUUGUUUUUAAACUAUAUAUUUAAUUAAUUUAUUGUAAAUGUGACAUGAUACUGUGGAAUGUGUGUCGUAGUGCAGGGAAUGUUGAAAACAUGUAUGUUAAUGUUUUUGACCCAAAAAGAAUCUGUGUGUGUGUGUGUGUGUGUGUGUGUGUGUGUGUGUGUGUGUGUGUGUGUGUGUGUGUGCGCGCCGCUCUAUUUGUGUUUAUCUGUAAAUUUAUGUCAGCUUCCUAUGUCUCGUUCUGCACCACUGUUUCCCAUAAGCCCUGUCUGGCAGCAAAAAAAAAAUCUUUGAAACAUGUUUUUGCUUGUUUAGAAGAAGAACUAUUUCUGGCUCAGCAUUUCUUAUUUGCGUUACACAUUUGGGAACCACAAACAAUAAAGCUGCUGUGGAAAGUUCGAAUUUGUUUUAC
Molecule: long non-coding RNA, 2420 nt
Organism: Scleropages formosus (Asian bonytongue)
Lineage: Eukaryota; Metazoa; Chordata; Actinopteri; Osteoglossiformes; Osteoglossidae
Source: Ensembl